Long non-coding RNA from Anguilla anguilla (European eel), 901 nucleotides. RefSeq lists it as uncharacterized. The record is from RefSeq and is a predicted model, not a curated record. The transcript is spliced from 3 exons. NCBI's taxonomy places the organism in Eukaryota, Metazoa, Chordata, Actinopteri, Anguilliformes, Anguillidae.
UGGUGCUGCUACGUGUUUCUAUGUGGGAGGGUUUUGAGCAAAAGAUUGACGUUUGAUUCAAUGGCAGAUGGAGAAGAGAGAGUGAAAAGGAAUGGACACAGUCAUGUUAAAAUGGUUUCAGAUUCACCUGUUGAUCCGUUCACAGAGAGAUGGUGUCAAGUUUCAAAUCCAGUGGCUGAAAGACCAGCGAUAAAGUGACGAGCCUGGUCGCGUUUCAGCACUACAGUAGAGGACAGCUCCCACAACCGAGUUCAGCGCUGAUUAUGGCCAAGGAUUCAGCCACAUCCUGUGAGGGAGGUGCUAGCCUACAGUGAAGAGGGGAGACAAGCCCAAGGUGCUGAGUGGAAGACUAGUGAUUUUGUUGUGAUGGUGAACAAAGACAACAAAUCCCAGUCUGCCUCCCAGCAUGGGACUCAGAGCAGCAAAGUCCUCUACAGUGUGUGCAUUUGUCUGCGUGUUUGAGAAGGUAUUCUUCUUAUACAGUUAAAUGUCGGGAAAAAAAAUCACCCAGCACCAGCCAAAGGCACAAAAAGGGCCACGGCUUUUAUUCCUUCCUUGGAUUGUUUAUCUAUGAAAGGAUUUUUGUUCACAAUUGAAUGGGGUCUUUUGUAACUGUGGCAUGGAUUAGUGAUGACAAUGAUAAUUAAGUGCCAAAAAGCCUUAACAAUUUAAGAUUUUACAUCAUUGCAAUUAAGAAUUUAAUCUUUCUUUUCAGACCUUCAGUGUUUUAUAAGACCAAUUGACCUUUUCUUGGCAGUACUGAAUUACACAGAUAAAAUUUCUUGACAUAAAUGCAAUCAAUGGAUGAAGAUCCUAUGGCUACACAUGUUGAAUGAAAACAAAAUCUAAAAUAAAUACAUUAAUGCAAGAAAUUAUAAAUAAAGAAAGCUAGUAUGGUCAA